GUCACGCUGUAAACGAUGUCGAUUUGGAGUUUGUUGCCUAGAGUGAUGGGCUCCGAAGCUAACGCGAUAAAUCGACCGCCUGGGGAGUACGGCCGCAAGGUUAAAACUCAAAUGAAUUGACGGGGGCCCGCACAAGCGGUGGAGCAUGUGGUUUAAUUCGAUGCAACGCGAAGAACCUUACCUGGUCUUGACAUCCAUAGAAUUCUGCAGAGAUGUGGGAGUGCCUUCGGGAACUAUGAGACAGGUGCUGCAUGGCUGUCGUCAGCUCGUGUUGUGAAAUGUUGGGUUAAGUCCCGCAACGAGCGCAACCCUUAUUCUUUGUUGCCAGCGAUUUGGUCGGGAACUCAAAGGAGACUGCCGUUGAUAAAGCGGAGGAAGGUGGGGACGACGUCAAGUCAUCAUGGCCCUUACGACCAGGGCUACACACGUGCUACAAUGGCGUAUACAAAGGGAAGCGAAGGUGCGAGCUGGAGCGGAUCUCAUAAAGUACGUCUAAGUUCGGAUUGGAGUCUGCAACUCGACUCCAUGAAGUCGGAAUCGCUAGUAAUCGUAGAUCAGAAUGCUACGGUGAAUACGUUCCCGGGCCUUGUACACACCGCCCGUCACACCAUGGGAGUGGGUUGCACCAGAAGUAGAUAGCUUAACCGCGAGGGGGGCGUUUACCACGGUGUGAUUCAUGACUGGGGUGAAGUCGUAACAAGGUAACCA
This 708-nucleotide ribosomal RNA is filed under the name uncultured Enterobacteriaceae bacterium. RNAcentral describes it as "bacterial SSU rRNA". It matches the Rfam family "Bacterial small subunit ribosomal RNA", at positions 794 to 1502 of the family's 1533-position model. Lineage: Bacteria; Pseudomonadati; Pseudomonadota; Gammaproteobacteria; Enterobacterales; Enterobacteriaceae. RNAcentral also lists the same sequence under 1 other name. The record is from RNAcentral.